GCUGAUAUAGCUCAGUAGGUUUAGAGUACACCCUUGGUAAGGGUGUGGUCGGCAGUUCGAAUCUGCCUAUCAGCA
This 75-nucleotide transfer RNA is filed under the name endosymbiont of Pachyrhynchus infernalis. It matches the Rfam family "tRNA". Rfam says of the family: Transfer RNA (tRNA) molecules are approximately 80 nucleotides in length. Their secondary structure includes four short double-helical elements and three loops (D, anti-codon, and T loops). Lineage: Bacteria; Pseudomonadati; Pseudomonadota; Gammaproteobacteria. The record is from Rfam by way of RNAcentral.